AUGGAGGCAGUAGCAUGGUAACACCUCAAAAUCAAGCAUCCAGCAGCUGAAUCCGAAAAACACAAGGAACAAGGUGGUCUCAAAAAUUUGGAGUGAAGCCAGAGGUGAAGUGAGACUUUCUGAAGCUGCAACAAUACCUCUACUCUACUUAAAGCAAUUUCUGGCAACCAGAAAAACUCAAAUAUGCUCCACAUACCAAUCAUAUAAGAAGCCCCAGGUUCCUCAUGCCAACAGCUUCCGAUGAGUUCCGAAGCCUUCCUCUUUUAAUAUAAAGCUUUCCUACUGCCCUGCCUACAUUGGAAUCUCUGCCAAAGGCAAGUGAUGGGCUCUGACUACCUUGCUCCAGCAACUUUGACUAGGUAGCCUGUUUUCAUUUGCACUAUGUUUAUUUCUACAAAACCAUUUUCUCUCCCUCACAAACAUGAAAGAGGAGGGCAGAGAGGAGAGAAGUGCCCCUGGAGGAAGCCCAUCAAUUUAAUCCAUACAGUUUCUCCCAGGUGUCAUCACCAUGAGAAGGACAUACCACCCCAGAAUAAGGAGAGGCAAAUGGAUUAGACUUGAAAUGAACCCAGAGCCUGGAUUCAAGCACAGCCAAACCCAGCUUGGAUCUCAUAAUUCCCAGUCCUGUGCAGAAGAACCGUGAGACCUACAAUAUAUUUCCAUACCUUCUUUCAAGAAAUAAAUGCUCAAUUUUGUAAGACACUGAGGUUGAAGGUUGUUUGCUACACCACAUUUUGGUGAAAAUAGUUGACAGUGACACCAACCAAAUCAAGAAUAAUCCCACAACACAGAGCUAGAGUACAUGCAACUUCGGCAUCUACUAGUAUUCACUAAGUGCCAACAUUGUGCUGGCAUCUUUGCACGUUCUCUCAUUUCAAUUUUACAACAACAAUAAGAG
Molecule: long non-coding RNA, 898 nt
Filed under: Homo sapiens (human)
Lineage: Eukaryota; Metazoa; Chordata; Mammalia; Primates; Hominidae
Description: HSALNT0173514
Source: RNAcentral